AUCGCAGCAAUGCCCGAGGUUCAAAAAUAGCCACGCAAUCGCUUGGCCUCUACCGGUAUCCACUCAAACAGGAUCUAGAUUAUCUUCUCCUUAUGAAUCUCUGCUCCAAAAAUUAGAUCUAGAUCUGAUCUGGAAGAUCUUCUGAAGCUGGAGCAGCAGCUUCUCGAUAAAUCCCUACAGCCUUUUGAUCAGGGAGCCACCAUGCCUUGGACAAGCACCAGAUGGAUGCCCAACUUCUUGGACAUGA
This 247-nucleotide long non-coding RNA is filed under the name Elaeis guineensis (African oil palm). RNAcentral's name for it is "long non-coding RNA (EGUI_LNC054341)". Lineage: Eukaryota; Viridiplantae; Streptophyta; Magnoliopsida; Arecales; Arecaceae. The record is from RNAcentral.